CCUACGGGAGGCAGCAGUGAGGAAUAUUGGUCAAUGGGCGCGAGCCUGAACCAGCCAAGUAGCGUGAAGGAUGACUGCCCUACGGGUGGUAAACGUCGUUUAGAAAGGAAUAAAGUGAGGCACGUGUGCCUUUUUGUAUGUACUUUAUGAAUAAGGAUCGGCUAACUCCGUGCCAGCAGCCGCGGUAAUACGGAGGAUCCGAGCGUUAGCCGGAUUUAUUGGUUUUAAAGGGAGCGUAGAUGGGUUGUUAAGUCAGUUGUGAACGUUUGCGGCUCAACCGUAAAAUUGCAAUUGCUACUGGCAGCCUUGCGUACCGUUGAGGUAGGCGGCCUUCUUGGUGUAGCGGU
This 347-nucleotide ribosomal RNA is filed under the name uncultured bacterium. Its description in RNAcentral is "partial 16S ribosomal RNA". It matches the Rfam family "Bacterial small subunit ribosomal RNA", at positions 338 to 682 of the family's 1533-position model. The record is from RNAcentral.